ACACGACUACAUUAGAUACCCCUGUAGUCCAGGGUGUAAACGCUGCGGGCUUGGUGUUGGGGGGUCCUUUGAGGGCGCCCAGUGCCGGAGAGAAGUUGUUAAGCCUGCUGCUUGGGGAGUACGUCCGCAAGGAUGAGACUUAAAGGAAUUGGCGGGGAGCACCGCAACGGGAGGAGCGUGCGGUUCAAUUGGAUUCAACGCCGGACAACUCACCAGGAGCGACGGUUACAUGAAGGCCAGGCUGAUGACCUUGCCUGAUUUCCG
Molecule: ribosomal RNA, 264 nt
Filed under: uncultured archaeon
Lineage: Archaea
Description: partial 16S ribosomal RNA
Rfam family: Archaeal small subunit ribosomal RNA
Source: RNAcentral